RNAcentral lists this ribosomal RNA (650 nucleotides) under uncultured bacterium. RNAcentral's name for it is "bacterial SSU rRNA". It matches the Rfam family "Bacterial small subunit ribosomal RNA", at positions 34 to 725 of the family's 1533-position model. The record is from RNAcentral.
CGCUGGCGGUAUGCCUAACACAUGCAAGUCGUACGAGAGUUUUUAACUCAAGUGGCGGACGGGUGAGUAACACGUGAGAAUUUGCCUUUAGGAGGGGGACAACAGCUGGAAACGGUUGCUAAUACCCCAUAUGCUUUCGAGUGAAAUGGAUUUAUCCGCCUAAAGAGAAGCUCGCGGCUGAUUAGCUUGUUGGUAGGGUAAGAGCCUACCAAGGCGACGAUCAGUAUCUGGUUUGAGAGGACGAUCAGACACACUGGAACUGAGACACGGUCCAGACUCCUACGGGAGGCAGCAGUGGGGAAUUUUCCGCAAUGGGCGAAAGCCUGACGGAGCAAUACCGCGUGAGGGAAGACGGCCUAUGGGUUGUAAACCUCUUUUUUCAGGGAGGAAUUUUGACGUGUACCUGAAGAAUAAGCAUCGGCUAACUCCGUGCCAGCAGCCGCGGUAAGACGGAGGAUGCAAGUGUUAUCCGGAAUCACUGGGCGUAAAGCGUCUGUAGGUGGUUAAGCAAGUCAACUGUUAAAUCUUGAGGCUCAACUUCAAAAUCGCAGUCGAAACUGUUUGACUAGAGUAUAGUAGGGGUAAAGGGAAUUUCCAGUGGAGCGGUGAAAUGCGUANAUAUUGGAAAGAACACCGAUGGCGAAGGCACU